RNAcentral lists this ribosomal RNA (1478 nucleotides) under Lacticaseibacillus casei. Its description in RNAcentral is "bacterial SSU rRNA". Lineage: Bacteria; Bacillati; Bacillota; Bacilli; Lactobacillales; Lactobacillaceae. The record is from RNAcentral.
UGACCUGGGCGGGCUGCUAUACAUGCAAGUCGAACGAGUUCUCGUUGAUGAUCGGUGCUUGCACCGAGAUUCAACAUGGAACGAGUGGCGGACGGGUGAGUAACACGUGGGUAACCUGCCCUUAAGUGGGGGAUAACAUUUGGAAACAGAUGCUAAUACCGCAUAGAUCCAAGAACCGCAUGGUUCUUGGCUGAAAGAUGGCGUAAGCUAUCGCUUUUGGAUGGACCCGCGGCGUAUUAGCUAGUUGGUGAGGUAAUGGCUCACCAAGGCGAUGAUACGUAGCCGAACUGAGAGGUUGAUCGGCCACAUUGGGACUGAGACACGGCCCAAACUCCUACGGGAGGCAGCAGUAGGGAAUCUUCCACAAUGGACGCAAGUCUGAUGGAGCAACGCCGCGUGAGUGAAGAAGGCUUUCGGGUCGUAAAACUCUGUUGUUGGAGAAGAAUGGUCGGCAGAGUAACUGUUGUCGGCGUGACGGUAUCCAACCAGAAAGCCACGGCUAACUACGUGCCAGCAGCCGCGGUAAUACGUAGGUGGCAAGCGUUAUCCGGAUUUAUUGGGCGUAAAGCGAGCGCAGGCGGUUUUUUAAGUCUGAUGUGAAAGCCCUCGGCUUAACCGAGGAAGCGCAUCGGAAACUGGGAAACUUGAGUGCAGAAGAGGACAGUGGAACUCCAUGUGUAGCGGUGAAAUGCGUAGAUAUAUGGAAGAACACCAGUGGCGAAGGCGGCUGUCUGGUCUGUAACUGACGCUGAGGCUCGAAAGCAUGGGUAGCGAACAGGAUUAGAUACCCUGGUAGUCCAUGCCGUAAACGAUGAAUGCUAGGUGUUGGAGGGUUUCCGCCCUUCAGUGCCGCAGCUAACGCAUUAAGCAUUCCGCCUGGGGAGUACGACCGCAAGGUUGAAACUCAAAGGAAUUGACGGGGGCCCGCACAAGCGGUGGAGCAUGUGGUUUAAUUCGAAGCAACGCGAAGAACCUUACCAGGUCUUGACAUCUUUUGAUCACCUGAGAGAUCAGGUUUCCCCUUCGGGGGCAAAAUGACAGGUGGUGCAUGGUUGUCGUCASCUCGKGYCGKGAGAUGUKGGGUUAAGUCCCGCAACGAGCSCAACCCUUAUGACUAGUUGCCAGCAUUUAGUUGGGCACUCUAGUAAGACUGCCGGUGACAAACCGGAGGAAGGUGGGGAUGACGUCAAAUCAUCAUGCCCCUUAUGACCUGGGCUACACACGUGCUACAAUGGAUGGUACAACGAGUUGCGAGACCGCGAGGUCAAGCUAAUCUCUUAAAGCCAUUCUCAGUUCGGACUGUAGGCUGCAACUCGCCUACACGAAGUCGGAAUCGCUAGUAAUCGCGGAUCAGCACGCCGCGGUGAAUACGUUCCCGGGCCUUGUACACACCGCCCGUCACACCAUGAGAGUUUGUAACACCCGAAGCCGGUGGCGUAACCCUUUUAGGGAGCGAGCCGUCUAAGGGGACCCAAAAU